CAUCAAACCAGAAUCUGCCUUGUGUUUGUCUGCCCAGCGUGAGGCUGUGACCACAGUUUAUCUCCUCACAUCCACCACAGUCUCCGGGAGGGAACUGACCUACAUUUUCAAUUGCGUGUUUUACGUGGCAAGUCACAGGGACACAAAGAGUGUGAAGCAUCGACUGAAGGACUAAAAUUCAAGCUGGCACAGCAACACUCAUCUAUGCCUUAUCACUGUCGCUCAUUUUUUAGACAUCAUUUUCUUGCAAGACUCUACUCUCCCCAUCCUAAACCUCAAAGCUGUACCAGUGAUGUUUUCCUGCAUGUUCCCUAGGCUCACAUAUCAGUAGCAGGCAGAUGUGGAUGAAGGUAUAGACAUUAGUGACUUGCCUGCCCUGAUGGGUUCCGACAAGGAUGAGAAGUGAAUAGAUGACCCCUUCCUGUCUCUCCUACACUCCAGUCUGCUGUACCUCCCAGCACCUCAACCUCCAAUAUUCAGCCUAAGCUGCCGUCAUCACCACUACCACCUCAGCCUUCCAGUGUGCUCAGUGUCUUCCCGAUUCUGGUUGUUACAUCACACGCAUGUGUUGAUGGAUCGCCGGCUCGAUGUUGAAGUGAGACUGCCAGUUCAUCUCCUUAGAUCUCCCGGUCCAGGGCUUUCCUCUCAGUAUUUUGUCCUGCAAAAAACUUGCUGCCUUGAUCUCCUUGGACUCAACUUUGUUUCAAGUUAGGUAGUCUGUGAAUUCUGCCUGGGUUCGCUGUCCCUGGGGCAGGAUCUGGAAACUCUCUCAAGGCAAUAAGUUGUGGCAGUUGGAGAGUUCACAUUGUUUCCAGUCUCUCAGGAUGACUGCUGUACAGUUUCAUGUCUGGAAAGUCUUUGUUUCAUUUAUUUUGUUUGUUUGUGGAUUGUUUCAGGUGGGAGAGUAAAUCUGAUCACUGCUACUUCAUCUUGGCCAAGAAUGGAAGGGUCUGAAUUUUAAUUUUAUUUACAUAUAAUUAAUUUAUACUUAAAUUCCUAUAGCCCCUAUGAUGAGUGUCAUCUGAACUUCACAACACAGCUUUCGAUGCUUUGAGAGUGCUCUGUAGUCUAAGUCUGACCACACAGCAGGUUUUAUCUUCCUCCCGGGAAGUCACAGGGUGAAAGUCCCUCCAUAAAGGCUGCUGAAAUGAGCAUUUCCCAUACUUUUUUUGGCUCUAGAAACAUUUCAUUAUGUGAUAGCUGUUAACAUCCUGUGAAGUUCUGUUUUGCAG
RNAcentral lists this long non-coding RNA (1232 nucleotides) under Equus caballus (horse). RNAcentral's name for it is "lncRNA (ENSECAG00000054136.1)". The record is from RNAcentral. Lineage: Eukaryota; Metazoa; Chordata; Mammalia; Perissodactyla; Equidae.